Molecule: ribosomal RNA, 1187 nt
Filed under: Chryseobacterium sp. UA-JF4202
Lineage: Bacteria; Pseudomonadati; Bacteroidota; Flavobacteriia; Flavobacteriales; Weeksellaceae
Description: bacterial SSU rRNA
Rfam family: Bacterial small subunit ribosomal RNA
Source: RNAcentral
ACAUGCAGCCGAGCGGUAGAGAUUCUUCGGAAUCUUGAGAGCGGCGUACGGGUGCGGAACACGUGUGCAACCUGCCUUUAUCUGGGGGAUAGCCUUUCGAAAGGAAGAUUAAUACCCUAUAAUAUAUUGACUGGCAUCAGUUACUAUUGAAAACUCCGGUGGAUAGAGAUGGGCACGCGCAAGAUUAGAUAGUUGGUGAGGUAACGGCUCACCAAGUCUACGAUCUUUAGGGGGCCUGAGAGGGUGAUCCCCCACACUGGUACUGAGACACGGACCAGACUCCUACGGGAGGCAGCAGUGAGGAAUAUUGGACAAUGGGUGAGAGCCUGAUCCAGCCAUCCCGCGUGAAGGACGACGGCCCUAUGGGUUGUAAACUUCUUUUGUAUAGGGAUAAACCUACUCUCGUGAGAGUAGCUGAAGGUACUAUACGAAUAAGCACCGGCUAACUCCGUGCCAGCAGCCGCGGUAAUACGGAGGGUGCAAGCGUUAUCCGGAUUUAUUGGGUUUAAAGGGUCCGUAGGCGGAUCUGUAAGUCAGUGGUGAAAUCUCACAGCUUAACUGUGAAACUGCCAUUGAUACUGCAGGUCUUGAGUGUUGUUGAAGUAGCUGGAAUAAGUAGUGUAGCGGUGAAAUGCAUAGAUAUUACUUAGAACACCAAUUGCGAAGGCAGGUUACUAAGCAACAACUGACGCUGAUGGACGAAAGCGUGGGGAGCGAACAGGAUUAGAUACCCUGGUAGUCCACGCCGUAAACGAUGCUAACUCGUUUUUGGGUCUUUAAGAUUCAGAGACUAAGCGAAAGUGAUAAGUUAGCCACCUGGGGAGUACGUUCGCAAGAAUGAAACUCAAAGGAAUUGACGGGGGCCCGCACAAGCGGUGGAUUAUGUGGUUUAAUUCGAUGAUACGCGAGGAACCUUACCAAGGCUUAAAUGGGAAAUGACAGGUUUAGAAAUAGACUUUUCUUCGGACAUUUUUCAAGGUGCUGCAUGGUUGUCGUCAGCUCGUGCCGUGAGGUGUUAGGUUAAGUCCUGCAACGAGCGCAACCCCUGUCACUAGUUGCCAUCAUUAAGUUGGGGACUCUAGUGAGACUGCCUACGCAAGUAAAGAGGAAGGUGGGGAUGACGUCAAAUCAUCACGGCCCUUACGCCUUGGGCCACACACGUAAUACAAUGGGCCAGUACAGAGGGC